UACGAAGGGGGCUAGCGUUGCUCAGAAUUACUGGGCGUAAAGGGCGCGUAGGCGGACAGUUUAGUCAGAGGUGAAAGCCCAGGGCUCAACCUUGGAAUUGCCUUUGAUACUGGCUGUCUUGAGUUCGGGAGAGGUGAGUGGAAUGCCGAGUGUAGAGGUGAAAUUCGUAGAUAUUCGCAAGAACACCAGUGGCGAAGGCGGCUCACUGGCCCGAUACUGACGCUGAGGCACGAAAGCGUGGGGAGCAAACAGG
RNAcentral lists this ribosomal RNA (253 nucleotides) under uncultured bacterium. RNAcentral describes it as "partial 16S ribosomal RNA". It matches the Rfam family "Bacterial small subunit ribosomal RNA", at positions 524 to 776 of the family's 1533-position model. The record is from RNAcentral.